GUACUCACUUCACAGCACGUACGCUAAAAUUGGAAUGCUGCAGACAAUAGGAGCAUAGCCCCCAGGCAAGGGUGACACGCAAAUUCAGGACGCGUUUCACAUCGUU
Molecule: small nuclear RNA, 106 nt
Organism: Nycticebus coucang (slow loris)
Lineage: Eukaryota; Metazoa; Chordata; Mammalia; Primates; Lorisidae
Source: RefSeq, a predicted model, not a curated record